UACGUAGGGGGCAAGCGUUAUCCGGAUUUACUGGGUGUAAAGGGAGCGUAGACGGCGCGGCAAGUCUGAAGUGAAAGGCAGGGGCUUAACCCCUGAACUGCUUUGGAAACUGCCAUGCUAGAGUGCUGGAGAGGUAAGCGGAAUUCCUAGUGUAGCGGUGAAAUGCGUAGAUAUUAGGAGGAACACCAGUGGCGAAGGCAGCGUACCGGCGCCACACUGACGCUGAGGCACGAAAGCGUGGGGAUCGAACAGG
RNAcentral lists this ribosomal RNA (253 nucleotides) under uncultured Lachnospiraceae bacterium. Its description in RNAcentral is "partial 16S ribosomal RNA". It matches the Rfam family "Bacterial small subunit ribosomal RNA", at positions 524 to 776 of the family's 1533-position model. The record is from RNAcentral. Lineage: Bacteria; Bacillati; Bacillota; Clostridia; Lachnospirales; Lachnospiraceae.